CAGUAGCCGCGGUAAUACGGAGGGUGCAAGCGUUACUCGGAAUCACUGGGCGUAAAGGACGCGUAGGCGGAUUAUCAAGUCUCUUGUGAAAUCUAACGGCUUAACCGUUAAACUGCUUGGGAAACUGAUAAUCUAGAGUAAGGGAGAGGCAGAUGGAAUUCUUGGUGCAGGGGUAAAAUCCGUAGAUAUCAAGAAGAAUACCUAUUGCGAAGGCGAUCUGCUGGAACUUAACUGACGCUAAUGCGUGAAAGCGUGGGGAGCAAACAGGAUUAGAUACCCCAGUAGUCCCUGUCUCUUAUAC
This 301-nucleotide ribosomal RNA is filed under the name uncultured bacterium. RNAcentral describes it as "partial 16S ribosomal RNA". It matches the Rfam family "Bacterial small subunit ribosomal RNA", at positions 509 to 807 of the family's 1533-position model. The record is from RNAcentral.